Molecule: small nucleolar RNA, 111 nt
Organism: Vicia villosa (hairy vetch)
Lineage: Eukaryota; Viridiplantae; Streptophyta; Magnoliopsida; Fabales; Fabaceae
Product: small nucleolar RNA Z152/R70/R12
Exons: 1
Source: RefSeq, a predicted model, not a curated record
AGUGCUAUGGUGAGAUAAUAACACCAAGGAAGUGUUUAUCGGCAGUGGACGGAACCGUAUCGUUUCGUCGUGAGCCUAAUUUUAAAACGACUUCUCUUUCCACUAAGCACU